RNAcentral lists this ribosomal RNA (332 nucleotides) under uncultured Chloroflexota bacterium. Its description in RNAcentral is "bacterial SSU rRNA". It matches the Rfam family "Bacterial small subunit ribosomal RNA", at positions 568 to 898 of the family's 1533-position model. The record is from RNAcentral. Lineage: Bacteria; Bacillati; Chloroflexota.
CGUGCAGGCGGUCUGUUAAGUCUAGGGUGAAAGCUCCCGGCUCAACUGGGAGAGGUCCUUGGAUACUGGCGGACUUGAGGGAGGCAGAGGAGAAUGGAAUUCCCGGUGUAGUGGUGAUAUGCGUAGAUAUCGGGAGGAACACCAGUGGCGAAGGCGGUUCUCUGGGCCUUACCUGACGCUGAGACGCGAAAGCGUGGGGAGCGAACCGGAUUAGAUACCCGGGUAGUCCACGCCGUAAACUAUGAACACUAGGUGUGGGGGGUAUCGACCCCCUCCGUGCCGAAGCUAACGCAGUAAGUGUUCCGCCUGGGGAGUACGGCCGCAAGGCUAAA